UUCUGAAAAGGGUAAGUUUUGUUUCCGGUCUAGUUUCUAGAACACUAGUUGAAUCACACCAUUUAAAAAUUUAAACCGGAAGAUAACAUUUUCAGGUACAAGAACAUUGAGGAGGAACUGGUGUCAAUGCUGCAUAUAGCAAUGGUUUGUGUAGUGCCACAGCCUGAGAAGAGGCCAACAAUGGGUGAAGUGGUUAAAAUGAUAGAGGAAAUAAGGGUGGAGCAAUCUCCAAUGGGAGAAGACUAUGAUGAAUCUCGAAAUUCCCUCUCCCCUUCACUUGCCACAACUGAUCAAGAUGCAUUGCCCUAACUCUAUAUUCUAGUUGGACAAGUAAUAUUCUGGUUUGCCAAUUCCAUUGCUUAUGGUAUGGACUGAGGACUUCCUUUUGAUUUUGAAUUAUAAUGUAAUUUAAUUUCUCUUUCAAGUGCUCAGUCACUUGCAGAUCAUGUUGAAUCAUGUUAAAUUUAGGGAUUGAAAUUGCGAUACCAACAUGUCGUGUUCGUGUCAAAGGAGUGUAUGUGAUCUACCACUAUAAGUAUUUAUUAGAAUUUAAAAAGAAUAUCUGUGCAAUAGUUCUUCUUAAACGUAAUCAAGUUGUUU
RNAcentral lists this long non-coding RNA (600 nucleotides) under Olea europaea subsp. europaea. The record is from RNAcentral. Lineage: Eukaryota; Viridiplantae; Streptophyta; Magnoliopsida; Lamiales; Oleaceae.